AUUGAACGCUGGCGACGUGCUUAACACAUGCAAGUCGUGCGAGAAAGUAGGCUUCGGUCUAUGAGUAGAGCGGCGCACGGGUGAGUAACGCGUGGAUGAUCUACCCUUGAGUUCGGGAUAACGGAACGAAAGAUCCGCUAAUACCGUAUAACAAUCCAUUUCAACGUGGGUUCAAAGCAGGCCUCUUCGUGAAAGCUUGCGCUUGGGGAUGAGUCCGCGUCCCAUUAGCUUGUUGGCGGGGUAACGGCCCACCAAGGCAACGAUGGGUAGCUGGUCUGAGAGGAUGAUCAGCCACACUGGAACUGAAACACGGUCCAGACUCCUACGGGAGGCAGCAGUGGGGAAUAUUGCGCAAUGGGGGAAACCCUGACGCAGCGACGUCGUGUGAGGGAAGAAGGCCUUCGGGUCGUAAACCUCUGUCAGAAGGGAAGAAAAACCAGGAGUCAAAUAGCCUCUUGGUCUGACGGUACCUUCAAAGGAAGCGCCGGCUAACUCCGUGCCAGCAGCCGCGGUAAUACGGAGGGCGCAAGCGUUAAUCGGAAUUACUGGGCGUAAAGCGUGCGUAGGCUGUUUGAUAAGUCAGGCGUGAAAUCCCUCGGCUCAACCGGGGAACUGCGUUUGAUACUGUUGAACUCGAGUCCUGGAGAGGGUGGCGGAAUUCCUGGUGUAGGAGUGAAAUCCGUAGAUAUCAGGAGGAACACCGGUGGCGAAGGCGGCCACCUGGACAGGUACUGACGCUGAGGCACGAAAGCGUGGGGAGCAAACAGGAUUAGAUACCCUGGUAGUCCACGCGGUAAACGAUGGAUGCUAGGUGUCGGGGAGCGAUCUUCGGCGCCGCAGCUAACGCAUUAAGCAUCCCGUCUGGGGAGUACGGUCGCAAGGCUGA
This 886-nucleotide ribosomal RNA is filed under the name uncultured bacterium. RNAcentral's name for it is "bacterial SSU rRNA". It matches the Rfam family "Bacterial small subunit ribosomal RNA", at positions 28 to 897 of the family's 1533-position model. The record is from RNAcentral.